GACGAACGCUGGCGGCGUGCUUAACACAUGCAAGUCGAACGGAAAGGCCUGCUUUCCCUUGUGGAUUGCGGGUACUCGAGUGGCGAACGGGUGAGUAACACGUGAGUUAUCUGCCCCCAACUUGGGUAUAAGCCUGGGAAACUGGGUCUAAUUCCCGAUAGGACUGCAGGGUGGUGCCUGUGGUGGAAAACGAUUUUCUAGUGGUUGGGGAUGAGCUCGCGGCUCAUCAGCUUGUUGGGGGGGUAAUGGCCUACCACGGCGGCGACGGGUAGCCGGCCUGGGGUGGUCGACAGCAAUAUGGGGACGGAGAGACGGCGCAGACUCCGACGGGAGGCAGGGGGGGGUAAUAUGGAACGAUGGGCGGAAGCCUGAAGCGGCGACGCCGCGGGGAGGGUGACCGCCUGCGGGUGGUAAACUCCUGUCGACGGCGAGGGAGCCACCUGGUUGGGAGGGUGUUGACGGUAGUGGUAGAAGAAGCACCGGCUAACUACGUG
RNAcentral lists this ribosomal RNA (494 nucleotides) under uncultured bacterium. RNAcentral's name for it is "partial 16S ribosomal RNA". It matches the Rfam family "Bacterial small subunit ribosomal RNA", at positions 28 to 507 of the family's 1533-position model. The record is from RNAcentral.